GGCUCAGGACGAACGCUGGCGGCGUGCUUAACACAUGCAAGUCGAGCGGUAAGGCACUUCGGUGUACACGAGCGGCGAACGGGUGAGUAACACGUGAGUAAUCUGCCCUUCACUCUGGGAUAAGCACUCGAAAGGGUGUCUAAUACCGGAUACGACCAUUCCCUGCAUGGGGUGAUGGUGGAAACUUUUGUGGGUGGGGGAUGUGCUCGCGGCCUAUCAGCUUGUUGGUGGGGUAAUGGCCUACCAAGGCUUCGACGGGUAGCCGGCCUGAGAGGGUGACCGGCCACACUGGGACUGAGACACGGCCCAGACUCCUACGGGAGGCAGCAGUGGGGAAUAUUGGACAAUGGGCGGAAGCCUGAUCCAGCAACGCCGCGUGAGGGAUGACUGCCUUCGGGUUGUAAACCUCUUUCAUCAUUGACGAAGCCUGAUGUUGAGUUGGGUGACGGUAGGUGGAGAAGAAGCACCGGCCAACUACGUGCCAGCAGCCGCGGUAAUACGUAGGGUGCGAGCGUUGUCCGGAAUUAUUGGGCGUAAAGGGCUCGUAGGCGGUUUGUCGCGUCGGGAGUGAAAACACUGGGCUUAACCGAGUGCUUGCUUUCGAUACGGGCAGACUAGAGGUAUGCAGGGGAGAACGGAAUUCCUGGUGUAGCGGUGAAAUGCGCAGAUAUCAGGAGGAACACCGGUGGCGAAGGCGGUUCUCUGGGCAUUACCUGACGCUGAGGAGCGAAAGUGUGGGGAGCGAACAGGAUUAGAUACCCUGGUAGUCCACACCGUAAACGUUGGGCGCUAGGUGUGGGGCCUAUUCCAUGGGUUCCGUGCCGCAGCUAACGCAUUAAGCGCCCCGCCUGGGGAGUACGGCCGCAAGGCUAAAACUCANUG
Molecule: ribosomal RNA, 882 nt
Filed under: uncultured Actinomycetes bacterium
Lineage: Bacteria; Bacillati; Actinomycetota; Actinomycetes
Description: SSU rRNA
Rfam family: Bacterial small subunit ribosomal RNA
Source: RNAcentral